RNAcentral lists this ribosomal RNA (439 nucleotides) under uncultured bacterium. RNAcentral describes it as "partial 16S ribosomal RNA". It matches the Rfam family "Bacterial small subunit ribosomal RNA", at positions 342 to 795 of the family's 1533-position model. The record is from RNAcentral.
CGGGCGGCUCCAGCAGUGGGGAAUAUUGCACAAUGGAGGAAACUCUGAUGCAGCAACGCCGCGUGGAGGAUGACACUUUUCGGAGCGUAAACUCCUUUUAUAUAGGAAGAAGAUGACGGUACUAUAUGAAUAAGCGCCGGCUAACUCCGUGCCAGCAGCCGCGGUAAUACGGAGGGCGCAAGCGUUACUCGGAAUCACUGGGCGUAAAGAGCGUGUAGGCGGAUUAAAAAGUCAGAAGUGAAAUCCUAUAGCUUAACUAUAGAACUGCUUCUGAAACUCUUAAUCUAGAAUAUGGGAGAGGUAGAUGGAAUUUCUGGUGUAGGGGUAAAAUCCGUAGAGAUCAGAAGGAAUACCGAUUGCGAAGGCGAUCUACUAGAACAUUAUUGACGCUGAGACGCGAAAGCGUGGGGAGCAAACAGGAUUAGAUACCCUCGUAGUC